UCUCUUGAUGGGGAUUUAGGCUACAGCACUGGGAAAAUAAUCAUGGGACUGGAUUUCAGGGCCCUGGCCACCUCAGCUCUUCAGGAAUGAAAAGCAUAAUGUUUUCCAUGGUGAUGCUGUGUCUCUACCUCCUCCCUCUGAACCUUGUGAGAGCCACGAACUAGGCUGGACUUUGGUGUCUGCCCUUCAGAUGAUUGGUGCCAUAAGAGGGCCACAAGCGGCACUAUUUCCAAGACAUGGAAACAACCUAAAUGUUCAUUGACAGAUGAGUGGAUGAAGAAGAUGUGGUACAUAUACACAAUGGAAUACUACUCAGCCAUAAAAAAGAACAAAAUAAGGCCAUUUGUAGCAACAUAGAUGGAACUGGAGAGUCUUAUACCAAAUGAAGCUUUUUAAUGUCAGCUCCAAAACUCGAAGUGUACAUAUCAGGAGCUUGGAAGAAAAGCCUGGAGAAAGAGUGGAGCACUCUUUUUAAUACCUGAUGCAGAUUACAUCUUCUGAUGCCCCCCAAGGUGCUAUUACAGAGGACAACAUGGACAUCAACACCUCUGAUUCAGAAAAAUUGAUCUCUGAAUGCUAUUAUGAAUAAUUGUGCCAUGUACAUGGGUGUUUGGAUAUCUUUGAGACCACACUUUCAGUUCUUUUGGGUAUAUGCCCAGAAGUAGAAUUGUUGGAUCAUAUGGCCAUUAAAAUAAAAACUAUUCAAGAAGUCAGCUGCUGCUAUAAAGGUCAUCUGGAAAGUCCAGGGAAGGACCCUGAGCUGCUGCUGGGAAAGAGAAAUUGUCCUCUGGCUCGUGAGCUGUCAUGUUUGUCUGCUGAGUGGCUUCAGUGGUUUCAUCUGUUGCUGAAAGAGCCAAGAGAGAGGGAUAAAACGGGACUAUAAUCCAUACCACAAUGAGCGGGACGGGACCAGCAGCCCAGAAGAAGCAAAAGGAAUCUUAAUGAAUUGGAGACAAUUGGAGGUGGUUUAUAAGGAUGAAGUUCAAAGGUUUUUCUUUAGAAGCCAUUGAGUUGGUAGUCUAGGAGAGCACCUUGUAGUGGUAUUUGCAUAAGGAGAAAGAUGUCAAAUAUUCAAAGAUGCCUUUACUCAAAGAGCCAGUGGCACUUAAGUGGCCAAAUAGCUUACAAGCACUUAUUAAGAUGAAUGGAUAAAGAAGAUGUGGUAUAGAUACACAAUAGAAUAUUACUCAGCCAUUAAAAGGGAAUAAACUAUUGCCAUCUGCAACAACAUGGAUCGAACCGGAGGGUAUUAUGAUAAGUGAAGUAAGUCAAAGACAAAUAUUGUAUGUUUUCACCUAUAUGUGUAAUCAAGAAAAAUAAAUGAACAAAUAUAGCAAAACAGAAAUAGACUCAUAGAUAGAACAUACUAGUGGUUUUCAAUAUUAAAAAAAUAUUGAAUCACUAUAUUGUAUAUGUGAAACUAAUAUGAUAUUGUAAGUUAAAUAGACUUCAAUUUUUAAAAAAAGUAAUUUUAAAAAACAAUAGAGGAGUUUCCACUGUGUGACUUCCAUGGCUCUGGUCACUGUGGAGGUGCAGGUUUGAUCCCCAGCCCAGUGCAGUGGGUUAAAGGAUUUGGCAUUGCCACUGCUGCAACUCGGAUUUAGUCCUUGGCCCAGGAACUUCCAUAGGCCGUGGGUGCAGCCAUUGGAAAAAAAAAAA
RNAcentral lists this long non-coding RNA (1659 nucleotides) under Sus scrofa (pig). Its description in RNAcentral is "lncRNA (ENSSSCG00060072179.1)". The record is from RNAcentral. Lineage: Eukaryota; Metazoa; Chordata; Mammalia; Artiodactyla; Suidae.